Molecule: non-coding RNA, 73 nt
Organism: Perkinsus marinus ATCC 50983
Lineage: Eukaryota; Perkinsozoa; Perkinsida; Perkinsidae
Source: Rfam
GCCUUCUUAGAUUAGUUGGUAGAGCACCCGCUUAGUAAGCGGGAGGUCGUCGGUUCAACUCCGGCAGAAGGCU